AGGUGAUGUGGCUAUGACUCCUGUCACUCGGUGGUUGCCAGGGUUUGAUUUGGCUGAUCUUGCCAUCUAGAAAAGUGUCUUCUUCCUCUCCCUCUUCUCCUUGUAUAUUCUCCUGAAGUUGGACUCCCCAUGGAAAGGACAGAUUUUGCUGAUAAAGGAGGGUCAUCCCUCUGUCAUAACUGUGCUCACUUUGUAGGACCUCAGAGUAAGCUCUCAUAGUCCACUGCAGGAGAAAGUGCAGUAGCAAAACCUUCAAGAUUCCAAAUGUAUCCAAAUGAGAUGCUACAGAGGGCGGUCUGCCUUUAUUA
This 308-nucleotide small nuclear RNA is filed under the name Octodon degus (degu). RNAcentral describes it as "7SK RNA (ENSODEG00000024503.1)". It matches the Rfam family "7SK RNA". Rfam says of the family: 7SK was discovered as an abundant small nuclear RNA in the mid-70s but a possible function has only recently been suggested. Lineage: Eukaryota; Metazoa; Chordata; Mammalia; Rodentia; Octodontidae. The record is from Rfam by way of RNAcentral.